This is a long non-coding RNA of Gossypium arboreum, 223 nucleotides long. RefSeq lists it as uncharacterized. The transcript is spliced from 2 exons. The record is from RefSeq and is a predicted model, not a curated record. Lineage: Eukaryota; Viridiplantae; Streptophyta; Magnoliopsida; Malvales; Malvaceae.
AUGGCCGAAUAUAGCAAGGAUAAACCAUGGCUAGGGUUUUUCAAGCUUCCAAGCUCGAUUUUUUGACAAGCCAGCUCGGAAAUCGGGAACGGUCGGAGGCUCGCUCACACUAUCCGUAUACCAUCUUGGCAUAAUGGCUUGUAUAUUUUGAGUGUGGCAUGUAUAGCAUUAUAAUCAUUUUGUAUAUAUGGUCUUAUGAUAUGGUUAUUGAGUGGUAUGGAAA